GAUACUGGCUCAGGAUGAACGCUAGCUACAGGCUUAACACAUGCAAGUCGAGGGGCAUCAGGAAGAAAGCUUGCUUUCUUUGCUGGCGACCGGCGCACGGGUGAGUAACACGUAUCCAACCUGCCCUUUACUCGGGGAUAGCCUUUCGAAAGAAAGAUUAAUACCCGAUAGCAUAAUGAUUCCGCAUGGUUUCAUUAUUAAAAGGAUUCCGGUUAAAGGAUGGGGAUGCGUUUCCAUUAGGUUGUUGGGUGAGGUAACGG
This 260-nucleotide ribosomal RNA is filed under the name uncultured bacterium. RNAcentral's name for it is "partial 16S ribosomal RNA". It matches the Rfam family "Bacterial small subunit ribosomal RNA", at positions 15 to 263 of the family's 1533-position model. The record is from RNAcentral.